RNAcentral lists this ribosomal RNA (253 nucleotides) under uncultured bacterium. RNAcentral's name for it is "partial 16S ribosomal RNA". It matches the Rfam family "Bacterial small subunit ribosomal RNA", at positions 524 to 776 of the family's 1533-position model. The record is from RNAcentral.
GACGUAGGGCGCGAGCGUUGUCCGGAUUUAUUGGGCGUAAAGAGCUCGUAGGCGGCUUGUUGCGUCGACUGUGAAAACCCGCGGCUUAACUGUGGGCUUGCAGUUGAUACGGGCAGGCUAGAGUUCGGUAGGGGAGACUGGAAUUCCUGGUGUAGCGGUGAAAUGCGCAGAUAUCAGGAGGAACACCGGUGGCGAAGGCGGGUCUCUGGGCCGAUACUGACGCUGAGGAGCGAAAGCGUGGGGAGCGAACAGG